This 537-nucleotide ribosomal RNA is filed under the name uncultured bacterium. Its description in RNAcentral is "bacterial SSU rRNA". It matches the Rfam family "Bacterial small subunit ribosomal RNA", at positions 33 to 541 of the family's 1533-position model. The record is from RNAcentral.
GACGAACGCUGGCGGCGUGCCUGACACAUGCAAGUCGGACGGUUCUUGUACCUUCAAGCUUGCUUGUUGGUGCAAGGAUAGUGGCGGACGGGUGAGUAACGCGUGAACAUCUACCCAUUGGAGGGGGACAACCCGUCGAAAGGCGGGCUAAUACCGCGUAAGCCGCGAGGUGAGAGGCUGCCUAUUGGUGGCCGCCGAUGGAUGGGUUCGCGUCCUAUCAGCUGGUUGGUGGGGUAACGGCCUACCAAGGCGAAGACGGGUAGCCGGUCUGAGAGGAUGGCCGGCCACACUGGAACUGAGACACGGUCCAGACUCCUACGGGAGGCAGCAGUGGGGAAUAUUGGGCAAUGGGGGAGACCCUGACCCAGCGACGCCGCGUGAGGGACGAAGGUUUUCGGAUCGUAAACCUCUGUUGUACGGGAAGAAGGAAUUGACGGUACCGGUACCGAGAAGGACCGGCCGAACUAACGUGCACGACGAGCGCCGGUAAACGUAACGUACUACGUCUCGUAGCGGGCCGUGGCGGAAGGACGGCGA